UGGGGAAUAUUGCACAAUGGGCGAAAGCCUGAUGCAGCAACGCCGCGUGAGUGAUGAAGGCCUUCGGGUUGUAAAGCUCUGUCUUUUGGGACGAUAAUGACGGUACCAAAGGAGGAAGCCACGGCUAACUACGUGCCAGCAGCCGCGGUAAUACGUAGGUGGCAAGCGUUGUCCGGAUUUACUGGGCGUAAAGGAUGCGUAGGCGGAUUUUUAAGUGAGAUGUGAAAACCCUAAGCUUAACUUGGGGACUGCAUUUCAUACUGGAAAUCUAGAGUGCGGGAGAGGAGAAUGGAAUUCCUAGUGUAGCGGUGAAAUGCGUAGAGAUUAGGAAGAACACCAGUGGCGAAGGCGAUUCUCUGGACCGUAACUGACGCUGAGGCAUGAAGGCGUGGGUAGCAAACAGGAUUAGAUACCCUGGUAGUCCACGCCGUAAACGAUGAGUACUAGGUGUAGGAGGUAUCGACCCCUUCUGUGCCGCAGUUAACACAAUAAGUACUCCGCCUGGGAAGUACGAUCGCAAGAUUAAAAACUUAAAUGAAUUGAC
This 544-nucleotide ribosomal RNA is filed under the name uncultured bacterium. RNAcentral describes it as "partial 16S ribosomal RNA". It matches the Rfam family "Bacterial small subunit ribosomal RNA", at positions 355 to 914 of the family's 1533-position model. The record is from RNAcentral.